RNAcentral lists this ribosomal RNA (492 nucleotides) under uncultured bacterium. Its description in RNAcentral is "partial 16S ribosomal RNA". It matches the Rfam family "Bacterial small subunit ribosomal RNA", at positions 29 to 507 of the family's 1533-position model. The record is from RNAcentral.
AGUGAACGCUGGCGGUGGGCCUAACACAUGCAAGUCGAACGGCAGCACAGUAAGAGCUUGCUCUUACGGGUGGCGAGUGGCGGACGGGUGAGGAAUACAUCGGAAUCUACUUUUUCGUGGGGGAUAACGUAGGGAAACUUACGCUAAUACCGCAUACGACCUACGGGUGAAAGCAGGGGAUCUUCGGACCUUGCGCGAUUGAAUGAGCCGAUGUCGGAUUAGCUAGUUGGCGGGGUAAAGGCCCACCAGGGCGACGAUCCGUAGCUGGUCUGAGAGGAUGAUCAGCCACACUGGAACUGAGACACGGUCCAGACUCCUACGGGAGGCAGCAGUGGGGAAUAUUGGACAAUGGGCGCAAGCCUGAUCCAGCCAUACCGCGUGGGUGAAGAAGGCCUUCGGGUUGUAAAGCCCUUUUGUUGGGAAAGAAAAGCAGCAGGUUAAUACCCCGCUGUUCUGACGGUACCCAAAGAAUAAGCACCGGCUAACUUCGUG